Molecule: non-coding RNA, 6221 nt
Organism: Anas platyrhynchos (mallard)
Lineage: Eukaryota; Metazoa; Chordata; Aves; Anseriformes; Anatidae
Source: RefSeq, a predicted model, not a curated record
UAAGUAUUAUCUAAUUAUGAUAACAUUUUUCUAUUGCACCCCCCCUAGUUUUGUCAUAUAACGCCAUGCAGGUGUUUUUCCCUUCUUUACCCUGUUAGCCAGCCAAACACUAUUUCACACGGUUUUAAAGAAACGUGUAAGACUAUUUGAUAGCAAGACUUCACAAAGGUAAAAGAAUUUGUGUUUUGCUGAAGCGAUGAUUAAAAAAAAAAAAGCUUAUUUGAAAACUGUUACGGGGAUAUCUUCAGCUAGAAAAAAAAGAGGUGCAGACAGCAAGCUGCACCCCUUACGGGAAGAAACGAGCAGCACACGAUUCAAAGAUCUAUAUUUACAAAGUGCUUGUGAAACCUAUAAAUAACCGAGCUUAGAGCCUGCUAGAUAGCACACCUCUUAUUCGAGGGGAAAAUCAGUGCUUUGAGAGGUGGAAUACUUCAGGAUUUGUUGUGAGCCAACGUUCACAGAUUGCUGCUCAGCUCACAGCACCCAAACCAAGGAACUCGGCUGCAGGCAGCGUCCUUUCUCCAGGCUGUGUCCUUAAGGCAGGGAGCCCCUCAGCUCUGCCUUACCUUGGGAAGAACUUCGCGGAGCCUCCUCGGGCUGGCGCCUGCUCUCUCCGAGCGCGGCGGCAGAGUAAUUCCUGCCGAGACUUGGCCUGGAGACCCUCUCCUUUUCAGCUAACACCGAAAAUAUUUGAUUAGCGAGCUUUAAGUCAGGGCGGCCGCAGUUUUCAAUGUGCGCAAAGCUUCCUCAGCGUGCGCGCAGUCGUUACAACCCACUGGACAUUAAGAAACCUAUUUCAGGGAAGAAAAAGCAGAAGAGACAAAGGUGUUUCACAGAAGCCAGGCCCAGGACAUCACAGUCUUCUCUGCUGAAGGCAAGAAUUCCUGCAGGACUUGAAAGAAACCAAGAGCAGCAUUUUUCUUUGGUCUGACUUGAAUUGAUUUAAAAUUUGUUGCAUAUAUGCACAAACAAAAAUGCCAGCUAAGCAAAAUCUUUUCUCCUAAAGGUUGGGAGGAAAAAAGGAGGGAGAUUGUUCUUCUCUUAAUACAUGUUUGAGUGUCCAGUGUGGAAGGAUGCCUCAAAAUUUUCACAGUUCAACUGAACCAGUUAUAGAGUUUGAGGAACCACAGCACAGACGAGUUCCUCAGUCAAGUAUAUUUCUUCAACAUUUUACCUGCACAUUUGGAAAGCAAGUCUAACUGUGGUGGAGAUUGCUGCACAGCCUCCCUAUGCAGUGCCUUCCACUGCCAACUAUCCUCAAGCCAGAAAUACUUCCUAAAGUCUAACAUAAUCUCCUUUGCUGCAGUGUAGGACAAGAGGUAAAGAGCUUAUCUCAGCGGUUACAGGAAACAACAAUCUUUACUGUAUUUGACAGCAUAAUCUAUCCCCUCCAUUUUCUCAAAGACUAAAGAGUUAGUUUAAUCUUUCUUCAUGGUUCAUGUAAGAUUCUGGCCCUUCAUAUCUUGCAAAUGUAGUAAGUGCAUUCGUUGUUCCAUCAGCCAAGUCAUUAGUUAAAGUAUAGCAUAUUAUCAGAACCAGUACGAUCCUCUGAGAUGACAUGCUUUAACAACUGGCCAUUCAAAACCAUGUUUUGAGUAUGGUUUUUAUAUUAGUCAUGUACUGUCUUGCAAGUAGUUCAUGCAAGACAGUGUUUCCCUCACUUUUUAAUGACAUCAUAGGAGGGAAUUUCAAAAGCUGUCUAUAUCACGUAUGUUGCUUCUUUUGCAUUUGUCUUGGAAUGACUCAAAUGGUUUGCUCAAAUCACAUAAUCUGUUGCAGAAUCAAAACCUCAAACCAGUUCAUAGUCCUCUCCUCUGUUAGACUUGUCAACAUAAUAAAUCAGUAUGAGAAAUAAGGGCUUCAAAUGGUGUCUAAAAAGUGAAUAUUCAUUAAAGACUUGUAUUGCUUAAUUAUAAGUGCACGGCAUGUAUCUAUACACAACCUGCAGAACUCACUCACUGACACAAUAUAACAAGAAAGGCAAAUUCUUAGCUGUGUUCAAAACAAAACAAAACUAUAUGACUACACAGAACCCACCCUCAUUAGGGAAAAAUACAAAUGAAUAAAGAAUAUCUGUUCUUAUUUUAACCAGGAAUACAAAGCAACUAUUAAUUAACAAGGAUUAACUUCCCCUUUGAGCACGCUAGUUCAAAAUUGUCCACUUUGACCAUAGGGACUGAUCCUGCAAACAAGUUGCUGAACUAGUCAGAUUCUGCUGCUGCCUAUAAAAUAAAUAAUUUUUCUAGGUUUUUUGAAGGUGCUUAUAAGUGCAAUUCAAUACUAAACGGAAGAAACAAAAGACUGAAAUGGCCUUACCAACUUAUGUAAGGACUGACAUGUGGUCUCGUUUAUCUUUAGAAGCAAGCCAGGGACAGAUCCUGAGUGCAAUUAAAAAUAGUACACCAUGUUCAUCCCUAGCUGGAAAAUGGCAGAGAUGCCAAAACUGAACUCAGAAAUCAGAAAAUAAAAAUACAAAAUGCAUUUUCACCUGAAACUUGACACCCUGAAAGCCAAACUUUGUAAUCCUGAUAAAUCUAUUUGUAAAGCUCAAGAAUCCUUUUACCUGAGGAGAUUUCAAAAAUAUCUCCACUAAAUACUCCAGCUAGUAACAGUGGAAAACAUAGGGUAAGGAUUGAGGAAUUGUGUGUUUUAUUCACAGUUCUGUUUUGGAUCAGGACACCCUCACUGUGCUUUGAUUUAUCCAUCUAAACUGAAAUUCCUGAGACUUCUUUCUCCUUCCCCAUAACAUGUGGCCCUAUUAUAACAUUCAGAAAACAAGUGUUUCAGAAGUCUUCAUUUUUUUCAGACUAAAAUUUCUAUAAACAUUCAAAAUGUAGUUUUACAGGACAGAUUUUUUCAUUAUUUUUGCUCAAUGACACAGAGAUUCAGAAACCGACUCGAACGAAGGCUGCCAGUUAUUGCCAUGUUCUGAGGAGUAAAACCGGUCUUAAAGGAAAGCUUUUGAAGUUGCCAACCAUUUCCCUACACCACAGAAAAGCCGUUUUAUUCUUCUUCUGUCCAGCAUUUUCUAGUUUGUAUGGACAUCACUCUACCAGGCAUAGGAAUGACCCCAGUGGCCUUUUCUCCUUGUGUCCUGAGCUGACUUGCCCAUGGCAGCAAUGCUUUGUGAGCUUGGUGCAGCAGAUCGGAGAGGGUUUUCUGAAAUCCUUUCUUCAGUCCCAUAGAUGGUAAAAAAGCUGAUGUGGUAUGGAAACCAGAACAGUUUCAGUUCUAAAAAAGAGAAGGAUUACUCUGCUAUGCCUCUAACAGACGGAAGCAAAGUGGCCUCCAAAGUGCCAGCCGUUCCCAAGACUCUUGUCUCCAUGAAUAUUUACGUACAUUGAGUUGGGAUGUACCCACACUCACCAUGGCAGGAAAAGCUUUCCCCCACCUCACUAAAAUAGUCAAAACAAGGAUUUACCCAGAGGAGUGUGAAGAACAAAUCCCCCAACUAGCAGCGUGCCAUACCCGUGUGUCAUCUGGCUGGGCAGCAACCCAACAAGCUUCUCCCCCUUUCCAGCCAGCCUGGGGCUUAGUCCGUCCACUCCUGGCUCACAGACUGAACCUCAUGGCUGGGGGAGCAGGGAGACUUUCGAUUCUGAACCAAGGUAAACAAACAGCAUAGGGCAUAUUUUGCAAAAGCUUCUAAGGGUAUUUAGGCAUUUUUAACCAAAAAGUUGCGGAAAGCAGAGAAGAGGAUUUGUUGUAGCUCAGGUGGAAAUACAAAAACGGAAGGCUGGUUGUGUUUGUCUAUGUCGGUUCACUAAACUCGCUAUUUAAGUCGCUAUUCUUUUUUUCCUGGGUGCUACUUCUCUUCUUAUACUCUUUUUUUUUUUUUUUCCUCAUAAUCAACAUCUGCAAAACAAUCAAAGCUCUGAGAGAAAUGUUUAGCAUUGAACUAUGCUAGGAAGGAAAACCAGAACUGGCUUUAAGGCAGGACUGGAAGGACUGUCUGGGUCCCUGAGUCAAGUCCUCAGUUUUAUCCUUUUCAUGUGUUUAUCAAGUGACUUCUUUUAACAGCAAAAUCUUCCAAUGUAGAAGACUGGAAAACCAAAAGAAAAUCAAGAGAAAAUAAGCAGGAAGGACCAAGAAAUGAAAUAACUUGUAUUUGAUAGAUUCCUACCAUCUCCUGCACUGCAUUGUCUUGUUAAACACCCAUUGAUGGUAACAGCAGAAACCUGUUUAGUUACACAGAAUGACAAUAUUUUUGUCCCUUUGCAAUUUAUAUUUGUCCAAAACAAAGAGAACGUGGAUGCAAAAUACACCAUUAGUAGUGAUCACCAGUGGAGCUGAACAUCUAGAGAAACUUCUGAAAAUUAUUUUUGCAGAUGAGACCUCUCAAAUUCCUGUCUUCCAUAUAUGUCUGUAAAAACAAAGGACGUCCUUUGCCCUUGUUUGUCAAUGAUGCUAAGGAUGUCCAUCAUGAAAGAUCUGAAAAAGCACAAGAAAUGAUAAACUUAAACCAUUCAUUGCAAAUGUGAAAUACUGUUUUACACACUUCAAACAUCUAUCCUUUUUUGAUGACCUUUUAGAAACCUACUGUGUACAAACAGCAUUUCUACAUGCUACCAGGCACAUGACACCUGAUAAAAAUAGUUGCUUGUGUUAGCAAAGGUGUGAAUAUCUCAAAGUAUUACUUAUCAUGUCUUGAAGCUAUCUUCAUUUGGAUUAAUGAUCUGUGAUGAGACUCCAUAUAGGUUUUAGAAGGUCUGCAGGGUCUGCAGAAUUAUUCCUCAAAUACAAAGGUGAAAUAAUUAGUGCUUUAUAGUAUAGAGAUCACUGGAGCUCCAGCAAUACUUUGCAGGCCCUUACUCAUUAUUAUGAGAUUCUAAGAGUUUGCUAUAAAACUUCAUUUGCUGCAGUGGGCUUAAUUACAUUUAAAAAUCUAAUAAAUGGUGAUGACCACCCCCGCAUCUUACAGUGGAAACAGUUACAUAGCAGAGGAGAGACAAUACAAAUACAAAUCCUUACAGAAAGAAAAUCUUUUUAAUUCCACAAAAUAUACACAUUUAUUUGUUCCCUCUAUUAUGUUGUACACAUCAGCUGCCUAUUAACCAGUUACUCAGUUGGCACCCUAUUUGAACUUGCUUGUUUGCUAAACCUUGCAUUAAAGGGCCAGAAGAUCACUCAGAUAGCCCAGGAGGCUCCUUGUAGGUUAGAUUUGCUCAUUCAACUGAAUUUGGCAGAAAGACAGGAUAGUAAGAAAGUACAAGAUAUCAGUUCUAGUUUCAAAUAGCAGGUCACAGGUGGCAGGCAUUUUGUAUACAGCAGGACUGUCACAACUGUCAGCAUCCCCCAAGAGCAAAGCAGAGUUAAACAACAUUUCCUCAGUCCUUAGCCUUAGCUGACAUCACUGACGCUUUGUUGGAGAUGGGGAACAGCAUUUGCUGCUGUAUUCCUCCUCCCAAGGUCCCUCUUCUUUCUUGUCUGCUUUAAAGCAGAAGGCAGCUUCUAAUGUCUUGGAAGAAAAGGAUUUUUGCAGAGAUCCUGUAGCCAGUCCUUAGUGAGAUGAAGGACAAAGAAGUGAUGGUGAUGGCUUUCACGGCCCUUCUCUAAUAACUGAGCUUUUGCAGCCUCCCACCAGUGUGCUGCUCACGUUGUGCAUUCAAGAUACCAACAUAAACACAAACAGAAGAGCUGAAUUACAAUGUAAGGCUGCCUUAAAAUUUACAGCAAAAGGUCUCCAUUCAUGCUACCACAGAUAUGGCAGUCAGCAAGAAAACUGUAACAAGCUCCUUAAGCGGUGACUCCCGGUAGCAGUCACAAGCUAUAGCUCUCCCCUCCCUGCCUUCCUCCACGUUCAGGUGGAUGGAGGCAGCCUGUGGGGUCUGAGUUUCAGGUCUGAGUGAUUAUUUUAACGAUGACCUUAGAAGAUCCCUGUCAUUAGGAGUCUUCUCGGGGCGGGCCGUCGCUGUAAUAGGAUCGGGCAGCGCGUUUCUUCACGCCAAGUCACCGAAUGUUAAAAUGAUUUGUCAUCUCUCACUGCAGGCCGCUGCCUGACACACACAUGCCACAGUCUCGUGUCUCGCCUGCCUUGACAUCAAAGCGUCUUCCUUCUGCGAUUGCCAGUGGGAAGAAAGGCAAACAAUGACAGUGGCUGAUUUGCUUUCAGAGAGAGUCCUAAUUAAAUAAGUGCUCUCAGAUAGCUUUGUACCUUAUAAUGGGGUGAAGGCAGGGGAAAAAACCUUUCAUCAUAAAAUGUAUUAAAUCCAUAAAUCUUG